UACGGAGGGUGCAAGGGGUAUCCGGAAUCACUGGGGUUAAAGGGUGCGUAGGCGGCUUGAUAAGUCAGGGGUGAAAGCCCGCAGCUUAACUGCGGAACUGCCUUUGAUACUGUCGAGCUUGAAAGAGGUUGAGGUCAGCGGAACGUGACAUGUAGCGGUGAAAUGCAUAGAUAUGUCACAGAACACCGAUUGCGAAGGCAGCUGGCUGGACCUACUUUGACGCUGAGGCACGAAAGCGUGGGGAGCGAACAGG
RNAcentral lists this ribosomal RNA (253 nucleotides) under uncultured bacterium. RNAcentral describes it as "partial 16S ribosomal RNA". It matches the Rfam family "Bacterial small subunit ribosomal RNA", at positions 524 to 776 of the family's 1533-position model. The record is from RNAcentral.